Neopsephotus bourkii (Bourke's parrot) is the source of this 3936-nucleotide long non-coding RNA. RefSeq lists it as uncharacterized. The record is from RefSeq and is a predicted model, not a curated record. NCBI's taxonomy places the organism in Eukaryota, Metazoa, Chordata, Aves, Psittaciformes, Psittacidae. The transcript is spliced from 3 exons.
CACAUCCCCCUGCCAUGCUGCAUUUGUGCUUUGGUUUUGCCCUUUGGGAAAAGGGAACAGAGUUGCAAAGCAUGAAACUGAUCUUGUCAUUGGGAGCUGGGAAGGGACAAAGGCAAAUGCACAGCAGGGGUCCAUCAUGCAAGGCACGUUCAGGCAGGAUGGCCCAGAGUGACAGUAAGCAAGGCACAAGUUCUUACAAUUUGGUAUGGCUUGGGACUGCAGAACUACUGUCAUGGUAAAACUGGUCAUUGUCUUUUACUGUAUAGUUUAUUAGUGUGUAUGCAGAAGGCCUGGUCAAAUGUAACAGAGAAGGAGCAGGUAACUUUCUCAGCAACUAAAGGAUGUGAAGAUUUCCCAGCUGUAGAUAAACUCGAUUUCUGGAGGAGAGGGCAGUGGAAAAAGAUGAUAAACGAUGGAGUGUAUACACAUGAUCAAGUCCUGCAGUGUUAAAUUGACCUAAAAAUAAACGAUGCAAACUUUGAGUUAUGUUACUUUGAGUUUUUGCGACUUAAGUGUGCAAAAUAUUAGAAUUCAGAAUUACUGAGAGGAGAUCAGUCUUCAAACUAUUAAGGCAUCUGAAAGCAGAAAACCACUGUCGAGAGCUGAACAGGUUGCUUCAGCUAAAAUUCUGUAGAAUAUAUUUAAAAAUAGUGAACACGCUGAUAUUUUUCUGGAAAAAUUGCAAAUUUGUGUCAGAGCUAAGUGUUUAAAUUCACAGAAAGGAAAGGAAUCACACUAUUGUAUACUUCAUGAAAAACAGGGGAACAAUGUAGAUCUGGACUGCUAUUCCCAAUAGGGUUUUUCUUUUUUUGUGUUCCCCAGUACAUGCUAAAAAUAUUUUGAAUAUCUUAACAUCUGCAUUAUUAUGAAAAAUGGCAUGUCUUUGUUUUGUUUCCAGCUGUGUCAUUCUUGCAUUACAUCUUGUUCCAUUUGCUCUCUUCAGCUGGGAUGUGAAGUCACUUUCUUUUGUCAGUUGUAGGCCUAAUUGCUCUGACUCCAGGACUGCACUGUGUACCACUUGGAAGAAGUUAUUUCUUUUGUUCUGUCUCAACCCAAACUGUAUGUUGGGGAAUGUCGACUUACUUGGUUGUGGAUGUGUCUUCUGUUUGGCAGAGGGGGCAGAAAAUAGGGUAAAAAUAAAGGGAGCUAAGCCUCUUUAAAUAUAGAAAACAUAAGGUUAAAGAAAGACAGGGUAUGUGAGUGUAUUUUGCAUACUACUAUGUAUUAGCACAUCUAUUCUUAAAUGCACCAGUGAGUCCCAUUGAUUUCAGUUCAAGAAUGGAUGAAUGGAUAAGGUAGACCCUCUCAUGUUUGUCCAACACCCUGGCAGGCUCCUAAGGACCAUGCAGCAGAGGAGGAUGGGUAAGUGACGUUUGGUCGCCAUUCUGAUUCCUGUGUCAAGUAUAAACAGCAAAACAGGCAAGAAAGAAAUAGGACCAGACUUGCUGUCAACACAAGAAAGGGAAAUGUUGAGGCAGAGUGAUAAUGACGACAAGAUGGCAGGGGAGGUCAUUAGCUGUUGGAUGCUUUUGCUUUCCAGUACCCUGCCUGGAACACAGGAUUUAUGGGUUCUUUUUGCUUGCCUAGUCUAGGGUACUGCAAAAGAUGAUGCCUAUGCGCUGGUUUCUUGAUUGAUUCAAGCAACAGAGCUGAGUGUUAAUAUUCUUACUCUUUCUCUCAGGUGUGCACUUGUGAAUAGGUUGCCACAAAAAAUGGAAUUUGACUUCCUGGUUUGAUCUGUGAUUCAUUUUUUUCCUUCUAAAGUUGAAGUAACUUUGCAUAUACACAAUGCACUUCAAAAGACACGUUAAGGGGGCAGAGGCAGGCCACCAGAACUCAAGGGUUGGCUGAAAUCAAGGUUGCAUGUGUUACUUUAAUUCUGCUUCCUUGGAUGUAUAUGUUUGUGCAAAAUCUUCUAAUAAAUGGUAAGUAUUGGGGUGGGUUUUGUUUUUUGGUUUGUUGGUGGGGCUUUUUCCCCAGAAGAAACACACCUGUGAUGAAACAAUGGUGUUUAUGGAAUGAAUCAGGGAAAAGUAGUGAGUGAGAAGAUCACAGAUAUUCUGAGAUGGUUUGUUUGCACAAUGCUCUAGCAGACACUUGGCUGCCCUAGGCAACCUUCUCUUCCCAGGGGUUCCUGCCAGCUGCCUCUGUCUUCAACUCCCCUCUUCUGGGCAACAGCACUCAUGGCAACAGCCUCUGGGACCUAACAUAUGUUUAGCGCCCUCUCUUAGAAGAUCCCUAGGUAGGGGGUUCACUUUUUUUGUACCCUUGCAGUGAGCCAGCAGUGUGGCAGCAGUUCCUGGCUUCAUACAAGCUUCCCAUGUACUUCAAAGGAGGUGCUAGGCUGUGCAGGCAGCCUUCAUUUAUCAUUUUAAAGUAGCCAGCAUCCCACUAAUGGUGCAUGUACUGUACUUUAGGAACAUCUCAUCUCUAAAUUUCUUCUUGUCACAAGAGUGGGAAAGUGUGAAUGACAAGGCACUGGACAAAGACAGAGGAGGGUCUCAUGGUCAAGACAUCAGAUGGUAUGAGAGUGAGCUGAAUUUUGGCAGUGCUGCCUGUACCACAGAGUUCCUGCAUAAAACUGUCAUUUUUGUGGCCAGCUGCCCAAAUGCUGGUGCAUGUCUUGUUUUCUAGAUUUCCAGAUCAACUCCAGGAGCCACACAGUCAUUCAAAGCCAGUUUUAGACAAUUUGCUGUGAGAAGGUCAAUAAAAGGCACAAGCACUAUUAAGGAGUAACAAGGAGUAAGACUUAACUAGUGAAUGUAUUACAUGAAACUACAAGAAUCGGACAGUCUGAAGUCUGAAAUGGUCUUGUGCUUGAAUUUGCAAUUUCAGGUCAAACACAACUUAUUGGGAUUUCCCCCCUUCCCCUCCUGCUCCCCCAUUUUUAUGUUCCCCAGAGAGUGGUGCACUUAAAUCACUUAAAUAGAAGCGAUUGAAGCAAAAAAGGUAGUAGACGUGUCAGUUAAUCUAUACCUCUUUUCUAUAUUAAGUUAGUUUUAAAUAGCAUUAAAGGCUCAAUUUAGCGAAGCACUUAGUAAGGCAUCUAACUGCAUAUUUGAAUUGAGGCCAGGAUUGAUAAACUUGGAUACUGUGUGAUAAUACAUUCUAAUAGGAACGCUGCAUCUACAAUGGUUAAUGUGUUGUUCUAAACAGGACUGUCUUCCUUCUGCUUAGAUUUGGGGUUGCAAGUUUCAAAGCUGGUUUAUUUGUGGUUUUGUUUCACAUGUUUUCAGUAAGAAUGGGCUACAAAGGAAAUAUUUUAAGUAAUCGAUUUACAAGCAAAGAAUACUCUCUAAUUUCCCCAAAUACCUGCUAUCUGUCACAGAGCUCAUUCCUGUUUUGAUUCUUUUAGCUGUUUGAAUUUUUCCAAUGCUUCUUGGGUCAUUUGCUGUGCCUGUACAAGAUCCAGUUAAAGCAGAUUUUUGGAAAGAAGCUUCAGAGGCUUCAGAAAACUGGAAAGGAAAAAACAUCCUUCUAAAUUUCCACCAACCAUUUCUCAUUCUUAGUUUAUGGGGAAGCAUUUAAAUUGUCUGAAAGGAAUGUCAUCCUAUAUUGGCCCAUUUGGCUGGGGUAUAUUCCUCUAGUGUGCAGCCCCAGCUGGCUCAUACUUGUAGAUGAAUUGCAUAUUUACACAAAGAACUCCCGCUACAGAGAACAUACUAAGGGAAUAUUGCUGGGUUUGAUUCAUAUGAACAAAUAAAGAACAGCGAUGCAAAUUUGACAGAGAAGUCAAUGGCAAAAGUCUUAUUGAUUGCAGUGGGAUGAGAAUGUGUGGAGAGAGGAUGUACAGUAAUACACUCCUAUUAAAUCACCGUUGCCCCCACAUGUACUUUGUGCUGCUUCACCACGAUUCACUGUGUGUAUCCUUACUAUUCACCUUAUGAAAACUAACUCAAAUUAAAAUACUAUGGAAAAGGUGUUCAACAAAAUCAA